UACAAGCAUACAUCCCAGGAC
This 21-nucleotide non-coding RNA is filed under the name Mus musculus (house mouse). The record is from RNAcentral. Lineage: Eukaryota; Metazoa; Chordata; Mammalia; Rodentia; Muridae.